GGCGGUUCGCCGCCGGCGACGUCGCGAGAAGUCCACUGAACCUUAUCAUUUAGAGGAAGGAGAAGUCGUAACAAGGUUUCCGUAGGUGAACCUGCGGAAGGAUCAUUGUCGCAACCUUUGCAAGCACAACUGUGGACAUGUUGUUAAACAGGGAGUCAUGUGAUCUUUAUGAUCACCUUGGCCCUCCAUCGAUUGGUGUGGUGCAAGUGCUUCUGCAUGAGCUCCUGCACCAAUUGAUCAAACGAACCCCGGCGCGGACAGCGCCAAGGAAUCAAUAAGAAGUGAUCUGCCCUUUGCCUCCUUCAUCAGGAGGCAAUGUGACGUGAUCAAUCAAAUAUCAUAACGACUCUCGGCAACGGAUAUCUCGGCUCUCGCAUCGAUGAAGAACGUAGCGAAAUGCGAAACUUGGUGUGAAUUGCAGAAUCCCGUGAACCAUCGAGUUUUUGAACGCAAGUUGCGCCCAAAGUCAUUAGGCGGAGGGCACGUCUGCCUGGGCGUCACGCAAUGUGUUGCCCCUCUCUGGAGUCUUGCUAUAUUGCAGAUUGUAAGUGUGGGGCGUAGCUUGGCCUCCCGUGAGUUCAUCUUGCGGAUGGCUUAAACAAAGAGCCUUACGAUGACAAUGUCACGACAAGUGGUGGUUGGUGAAGGCUCAUGUGGUCUCUAAGACUUUGCAUGUCGUGCAUUUUGUAUUGUCGGUUUGCUCUAGAUGAACCCAAAGGUGUCAGAUUUCAUGACAUCAACAUCGCGACCCCAGGUCAGGCGGGACUACCCGCUGAAUUUAAGCAUAUCAAUAAG
This 795-nucleotide ribosomal RNA is filed under the name Crassula hunua. RNAcentral's name for it is "eukaryotic LSU rRNA". The stretch from base 345 to 500 matches the Rfam family "5.8S ribosomal RNA". The record is from RNAcentral. Lineage: Eukaryota; Viridiplantae; Streptophyta; Magnoliopsida; Saxifragales; Crassulaceae.